RNAcentral lists this transfer RNA (74 nucleotides) under Bacteroidales bacterium. Its description in RNAcentral is "tRNA-Gln". It matches the Rfam family "tRNA". Rfam says of the family: Transfer RNA (tRNA) molecules are approximately 80 nucleotides in length. Lineage: Bacteria; Pseudomonadati; Bacteroidota; Bacteroidia; Bacteroidales. The record is from RNAcentral.
UGCCCCAUGGUGUAAUGGUAGCACACCAGAUUUUGGUUCUGUUUGACUGAGUUCGAGUCUCGGUGGGGCAACCA